GAUCAUUUUAUCUAUACAGUGAGUGGCUAACGGGUGAGUAACACGUGGGUAACCUGCCCAGAAGUGGGGGAUAACACCUGGAAACAGAUGCUAAUACCGCAUAACAAAAUUAACCGCAUGGUUGAUUUUUAAAAGAUGGCUUCGGCUAUCACUUCUGGAUGGACCCGCGGCGUAUUAGCUAGUUGGUGAGAUAAAGGCUCACCAAGGCAGUGAUACGUAGCCGACCUGAGAGGGUAAUCGGCCACAUUGGGACUGAGACACGGCCCAGACUCCUACGGGAGGCAGCAGUAGGGAAUCUUCCACAAUGGACGCAAGUCUGAUGGAGCAACGCCGCGUGAGUGAUGAAGGCUUUCGGGUCGUAAAACUCUGUUGUUGGAGAAGAACGUGUGUGAGAGUAACUGCUCAUGCAGUGACGGUAUCCAACCAGAAAGCCACGGCUAACUACGUGCCAGCAGCCGCGGUAAUACGUAGGUGGCAAGCGUUAUCCGGAUUUAUUGGGCGUAAAGCGAGCGCAGGCGGUCUUUUAAGUCUAAUGUGAAAGCCUUCGGCUUAACCGAAGAAGUGCAUUGGAAACUGGGAGACUUGAGUGCAGAAGAGGAGAGUGGAACUCCAUGUGUAGCGGUGAAAUGCGUAGAUAUAUGGAAGAACACCAGUGGCGAAGGCGGCUCUCUGGUCUGCAACUGACGCUGAGGCUCGAAAGCAUGGGUAGCGAACAGGAUUAGAUACCCUGGUAGUCCAUGCCGUAAACGAUGAAUGCUAAGUGUUGGAGGGUUUCCGCCCUUCAGUGCUGCAGCUAACGCAUUAAGCAUUCCGCCUGGGGAGUACGACCGCAAGGUUGAAACUCAAAAGAAUUGACGGGGGCCCGCACAAGCGGUGGAGCAUGUGGUUUAAUUCGAAGCUACGCGAAGAACCUUACCAGGUCUUGACAUCUUCUGCUAACCUAAGAGAUUAGGCGUUCCCUUCGGGGACGGAAUGACAGGUGGUGCAUGGUUGUCCUCACCUCGUGUCGUGAGAUGUUGGGUUAAGU
This 1027-nucleotide ribosomal RNA is filed under the name Pediococcus ethanolidurans. Its description in RNAcentral is "bacterial SSU rRNA". It matches the Rfam family "Bacterial small subunit ribosomal RNA", at positions 71 to 1085 of the family's 1533-position model. Lineage: Bacteria; Bacillati; Bacillota; Bacilli; Lactobacillales; Lactobacillaceae. The record is from RNAcentral.